Molecule: small RNA, 2084 nt
Filed under: Malus domestica (apple)
Lineage: Eukaryota; Viridiplantae; Streptophyta; Magnoliopsida; Rosales; Rosaceae
Description: sRNA MD17G0153000
Rfam family: Eukaryotic large subunit ribosomal RNA (bases 1-928)
Source: RNAcentral
GUCCGACUUUGUGAAAUGACUUGAGAGGUGUAGUAUAAGUGGGAGCCUCGCGGCGAAAUUGAAAUACCACUACUUUUAACGUUAUUUUACUUAUUCCGUGAAUCAGAGACUGGGCAUCGCCCCUCUUUUUGGAACAAAGGUUUGCUCGCAAGUCGAUCCAAACGACAGACAUUGCCAAGUAGGGAGUUUGGCUGGGGUGGCACAUCUAUUAAAAGAUAACGCAGGUGUCCUAAGAUGGGCUCAAUGAGAACAUAAAUCUCGUGUGGAACAAAAGGGUAAAAGCUUGUUUGAUUUUGAUUUCCAGUACGAAUACGAACCGUGAAAGCGUGGCCUAUCGAACUUUUAGACCUUGGGAAUUUGAAGUUAGAAGUAUCAGAAAAGUUACCACAAGGAUAACUGGCUUGCGGCAGCUAAGCGUUCAUAGUGACAUUGCUUUUUUAUCCUUCGAUGUCGGCUCUUCCUAUCAUUGUGAAGCAGAAUUCAUUAAGUGUUGGAUUGUUCACCCACCAAUAGGGAACGUGAGCUGGGUUUAGACCGUCAUGAGACAGGUUAGUUUUACACUACUGAUGACAGUGUCGCAAUAGUAAUUCAACCUAGUACGAGAGUAACCGUUGAUUCGCAUAAUUAGUCAUCGCGCUUGGUUGAAAAGCCAGUGGCGUAAAGCUACCGUGCGCUGGAUUAUGACUGAACGCCUCUAAGUCAGAAUCCGGGCUAAAAGCAACAUGUGCACUCGCCUCCCGAUUGCCGACAUGCAGUAGGGGCCUCGGCCCCCAAAGGCUCAUAUAAUGGUCAAGCCAUCAUGGCGGACAAGUCGUGGUGGCCACCUUGAAUUGCAGACGACUUAAAUACACGACGGGGUAUUGUAAGUGGCAGAGUGGCCUUGCUGCCACGAUCCACUAAGAUUUAGCCCUGCGUCACUUCGAUUCAUCUCUCCCAUUUUCCUUCCCCACCCAACCUUUUCAAUUUACUUAUGUGUUUGAAGGCGAGGCUAUUGGUCAACAAUUGGGCAAAAAUUCCCAACACAUUGGCAUGUCCGACAAUUGUGCCAAAUUCCUAACACUUUGGCAUGUCGGGACGUUAAGUCUGCCAAGUUUUUUUUCCAAGUCAUGUCGGCACUUUAGCUUUGCCGUGCAUUUUGACGUAUAGCGUCGCUUUGUGUCGACAGCAAGCGAGGCUAGUACAACCCAUGGGAUUUGCAAUGACAUGUCAAAAUGUCCAUGUGAUUUUGCUAUGACAUGUCGAAAGGUGCCCGAACCUCGCUUCAUGCCGACAACAUGCGAUGCUAUGGCUACCGAUGCACAUUGUCAAUGGCAUGUCGCAGUGCGUUCAAUAUCGACAUUUUCCUCGCAUAAUAUAAUGCUCCCCAUUGUUACAGUUCGUGGGUUGUUGGACGAUUAAUGAAUGGCAAAAGUGGACCGUCUAAUAUUGGGGUCCCCAGUCAUGUGAACAUGUUUCGUAGUCCAACAAAGCAAUUGUUGUUAUUGCACUGGCCAAGCCAAAAAAUACGACGACGACACUUGAGUAAAGGGUUUAUUGGCCUAAAAGUUGGCCACCAAUACAUGUCGCAAAAGAAGCUUGUUAGACAUUAGCUUUGCAUGUAUUUUUCCAACUCAUGUCGAGACUUGGACUUUGUCGUGUCGGGAAAUUGUAUGUCGCGACAUGCCAAGACUCGCAAAGUGUCGGCAUAAUGCAUGGUCACUCCCCUAUAAAUAGCCAUGUUUUCCCACUAAAAUGCUAGGUCAUUCUCUUCCCAAAAAUUCCUAAACACUUUCUCUCUCAAAUUCUAACUUUGGCAUCGGAGAUUCUUCGGCCAAAGCUCCCCCACCCCCAUUCAUGAUAGGUGCGUGAGACUUUUGGCCUUAAUAUUAGGUGUUAUUAUUUUGCAGGUGCCUUUUCAUCAAAGGAGAAGACGACGGAAAUUUGCAUCCACUAAUUGGUGCUUUCAUUGAGAGUUUGAUUCACACACUUGAAAAAGACUCUUGCAGUCAAAGUUUCUCAUUUCUCGUUCAUUUGUAGAUUUUUCGUAUAUUCUUAUUCUUAGAAUUUUUUAUAAGUUCUUUGAAUAAAUGUAAAAGAAAAAUACA